This 443-nucleotide ribosomal RNA is filed under the name uncultured bacterium. RNAcentral describes it as "partial 16S ribosomal RNA". It matches the Rfam family "Bacterial small subunit ribosomal RNA", at positions 338 to 795 of the family's 1533-position model. The record is from RNAcentral.
CCUACGGGGGGCAGCAGUGGGGGAUAUUGGACAAUGGGGGAAACCCUGAUCCAGCGACGCCGCGUGAGUGAAGAAGUAUUUCGGUAUGUAAAGCUCUAUCAGCAGGGAAGAAAGAAAUGACGGUACCGGAGUAAGAAGCACCGGCUAACUACGGGCCAGCAGCCGCGGUAAUACGUCGGGGGCAAGCGUUAUCCGGAAUUACUGGGUGUAAAGGGAGCGUAGACGGUAAUGAAAGUCUGGAGUGAAAGGCGGGGGCCCAACCCCCGGACUGCUCUGGAAACGGUGGAACUGGAGUGCAGGAGCGGCCGGCGUCCUUCCUCGUGUAGCGGUGACCUGCUUAGAUAUUAGGCGGAACACCAGUGGCGACGGCGGCCUGCUGGACUGUACCUGACGUUGCGGCUCGACCGCGUGGGGAGCACCCAGGAUUAGAUACCCCGGUAGUC